RNAcentral lists this unclassified non-coding RNA (212 nucleotides) under Hevea brasiliensis (rubber tree). The record is from RNAcentral. Lineage: Eukaryota; Viridiplantae; Streptophyta; Magnoliopsida; Malpighiales; Euphorbiaceae.
UCUGGUUCCCAGCUGUUCACUCUGUGAGGAAUUCAUUUACCACAUCUAUUUUGAAGCAUGAUUCUCACUUCAUGUUGCUAGCUUUUGGCAAUAAAGAUUAGUGUUUAUUUUUUAACUCUUUUUUAUGUGCUUCCAGCACUGUAUUUAUUUUUAUUCUUGCCCUGGUUGGCGUAUUUUAUCCAUACAAUCGAGGAGCUCUAUUUACUGCACUG